Molecule: ribosomal RNA, 218 nt
Filed under: Enterococcus faecium
Lineage: Bacteria; Bacillati; Bacillota; Bacilli; Lactobacillales; Enterococcaceae
Description: partial 16S ribosomal RNA
Rfam family: Bacterial small subunit ribosomal RNA
Source: RNAcentral
GACCUGAGAGGGUGAUCGGCCACAUUGGGACUGAGACACGGCCCAAACUCCUACGGGAGGCAGCAGUAGGGAAUCUUCGGCAAUGGACGACAGUCUGACCGAGCAACGCCGCGUGAGUGAAGAAGGUUUUCGGAUCGUAAAACUCUGUUGUUAGAGAAGAACAAGGAUGAGAGUAACUGUUCAUCCCUUGACGGUAUCUAACCAGAAAGCCACGGCUA